RNAcentral lists this ribosomal RNA (405 nucleotides) under uncultured bacterium. RNAcentral describes it as "partial 16S ribosomal RNA". It matches the Rfam family "Bacterial small subunit ribosomal RNA", at positions 28 to 526 of the family's 1533-position model. The record is from RNAcentral.
GAUGAACGCUGGCGGCGUGCCUAAUACAUGCAAGUCGAGCGAAGCGGGGACGGGUGAGUAACACGUGGAUAACCUCCUAUAAGACUGGGAUAACUUCGGGAAACCGGAGCUAAAACGGAUAAAUAUAGAUGGAUCCGCGCGACAUUAGAUAGUGGGUAAGGUAACGGCUUACCAAGGCAACGAUGCAUAGCCGACCUGAGAGGGUGUUCGGCCACACUGGGACUGAGACACGGUCCAGAAUCCUACGGGAGGCAGCAGUAGGGAAGUUUCCGCAAUUGGCGAAAGCCUGACGGAGCAACGCCGCGUGAGUGAUGAAGGUCUUCGGAUCGUAAAGCUCUGUUAUUAGGGAAGCGGUACCUACUCAGAAAGCCACGGCUAACUACGGGCCAGCAGCCGCGGUAAUUC